GUGCCAGCAGCCGCGGUAAGACGUAGGUGGCGAACGUUAUCCGGAAUCAUUGGGCGUAAAGGGUGCGUAGAUGGCAUGAUAAGUUAUUAGUGGGAAAUCGAGGCUCAACCUCGUGGAAGCUAGUAAUACUGUUUUGCUUGAGUACAGAAGAGGUUAACGGAACUCCAUGUGGAGCGGUAAAAUGCGUAGAUAUAUGGAAGAACACCAAUAACGGCGAAGGCAGUUAACUAUUCUGUUACUGACAUUGAGGCACGAAAGCGUGGGGAGCAAAACGGAUUAGAAACCCUAGUAGUCC
This 295-nucleotide ribosomal RNA is filed under the name uncultured bacterium. RNAcentral describes it as "partial 16S ribosomal RNA". It matches the Rfam family "Bacterial small subunit ribosomal RNA", at positions 505 to 796 of the family's 1533-position model. The record is from RNAcentral.